Molecule: ribosomal RNA, 449 nt
Filed under: uncultured bacterium
Lineage: Bacteria
Description: partial 16S ribosomal RNA
Rfam family: Bacterial small subunit ribosomal RNA
Source: RNAcentral
GUCGAGAAUCUUUCACAAUGGGGGCAACCCUGAUGGAGCGACGCCGCGUGGAGGAUAAGGUCUUCGGAUUGUAAACUCCUGUCAUGCGUGAACAAGGUUGCUUGGUUAAUACCUGGGCAAAUUGAUGGUAACGCAAGAGGAAGAGACGGCUAACUCUGUGCCAGCAGCCGCGGUAAUACAGAGGUCUCAAGCGUUGUUCGGAAUCACUGGGCGUAAAGGGUGCGUAGGUGGCGUGGUAAGUCAGAUGUGAAAGCCCGGGGCUCAACCUCGGAACUGAAUCCGAUACUGCCAUGCUAGAGUACUGGAGAGGUGACUAGAAUUCUCGGUGUAGCAGUGAAAUGCGUAGAUAUCGAGAGGAAUACCAAAGGCGUAGGCAGGUCACUGGACAGUUACUGACACUGAGGCACGAAGGCCAGGGGAGCGAACGGGAUUAGAAACCCGAGUAGUCC